GUUUGGUUUAGAGUUGGCGUUUAUAGGAAUUUCUGGUGGUGAUCGAGUCUGUAGUUGUUGAAGCUGUUCGGUCUGAUUAAGAGUCGUCCUUGUCUUUGCAAUAAUCACCAUGUGGGUGUGAGCAGAAGGUGCAUAAGUUUCUCUGGAGCAGGCGCUGGCAUAAGAUGAUUGUCUCCGCUAAGAGUAAAACUGUUCGGUCUUGACUUUGUUUUGG
Molecule: small RNA, 214 nt
Filed under: Vigna angularis var. angularis
Lineage: Eukaryota; Viridiplantae; Streptophyta; Magnoliopsida; Fabales; Fabaceae
Description: Non-protein coding transcript
Source: RNAcentral